GUGACUGUGUUGUAAUGGUAGCCUGCACGCUUGGUAUGCUUGCGGCGAGGGAUCGAUACCCUCCAGUCACCCCA
This 74-nucleotide transfer RNA is filed under the name Candidatus Saccharimonadota bacterium. RNAcentral's name for it is "tRNA-Thr". It matches the Rfam family "tRNA". From Rfam's summary of the family: Transfer RNA (tRNA) molecules are approximately 80 nucleotides in length. Their secondary structure includes four short double-helical elements and three loops (D, anti-codon, and T loops). Lineage: Bacteria; Candidatus Saccharimonadota. The record is from RNAcentral.